AGCAUAGUGAAUUGCUCAAAGGUAAAAAAAAAUAUUUUAAGUUCAUUAGACCAUAUUCAUUCUGUGUCAGAAACCUAUGCUGUGUCAACUAUUUAAUCACAAUCCAAAUUUAGAGCUGAAUCCAGCUUGAAUGAUGUGUCCAUACUUGCCCCAACCGUUCAGGGUUCAACCUCUGCGGUCGUAUAAAGCUGCGCCCUGCGGAGCAUCUGGUUUAAUAUUAGAAAA
Molecule: long non-coding RNA, 225 nt
Filed under: Mytilus galloprovincialis (Mediterranean mussel)
Lineage: Eukaryota; Metazoa; Mollusca; Bivalvia; Mytilida; Mytilidae
Source: RNAcentral